UUAAAAACUAAGCCGAAUGUGCUCUUUGUCCCAUGGGGGCCCCAGUGUGCCAUGGCUGCAAACAGUAGCCUCCCUUGGUAGUGUAUGCAGCCUGUUGAUUGUAUGGGUUGCCCUAAGGGACCUUGGGGACAGCC
Molecule: small nucleolar RNA, 134 nt
Filed under: Zalophus californianus (California sea lion)
Lineage: Eukaryota; Metazoa; Chordata; Mammalia; Carnivora; Otariidae
Description: Small nucleolar RNA SNORA70 (ENSZCAG00015017285.1)
Rfam family: Small nucleolar RNA SNORA70
About the family: snoRNA U70 seems to be exclusive to mammals and is a member of the H/ACA class of snoRNA which contain H (ANANNA) and ACA box motifs. H/ACA box snoRNAs are involved in the conversion of uridines to pseudouridines (5-ribosyluracil) a constituent of structural RNAs (transfer, ribosomal, small nuclear, and small nucleolar).
Source: RNAcentral